GCGAGCGAUUGAUUGAUCGAGAGCGAUUGAGCGAUCGCUCGUUUUUUUGCGAGCGAGAUCGAGCGAUUGAUCGCACCAAUUUAUCGAGAGCGAGAUCAAGAGCGAAUGGUGUUGAGUGAUAUCGAUCGUAACUUCAGCGCCAUCUAGCGGUCGCAAUUAAAAGAUCUGUAAAAACGUUGAACGGUUGCCUUUUUCCGUUUCCGUUGUAACAUGUAAGAAGUGGUCUGCCAUUGAAGACGCCACUUUAAUUGACAGUUUUUCUAGCAAACGAACAAUUAUGAGAUGGAUCCCACGCCUUCCACAUCAAAAAAUGACCCUGUUAUUGAUUUAACUGAAACUGAAAGUCAAGAUAAAAACUCAAACUCUUCAGGGAAGUCAGGAACGAAAAUUUGUAAUUGUUUUGAUGGACAGUGGAGUCAUUCCAGAAAUACAAUGUUUUGGUGAGCGA
Long non-coding RNA from Daphnia magna, 448 nucleotides. RefSeq lists it as uncharacterized. The record is from RefSeq and is a predicted model, not a curated record. The transcript has 2 exons. NCBI's taxonomy places the organism in Eukaryota, Metazoa, Arthropoda, Branchiopoda, Diplostraca, Daphniidae.